AAAAUUAGAGUGUUCAAAGCAGGCAGACAUUAAUCUCUGCCACCGAAUACAUUAGCAUGGGAUAAUGGAAUAGGACCCUGUCCUCCUAUUUUCAGUUGGUUUUCGAGGACCAGGGUAAUGAUUAAUAGGGAUAGUUGGGGGCAUUAAUAUUUAAUUGUCAGAGGUGAAAUUCUUGGAUUUAUGAAAGAUUAACUUCUGCGAAAGCAUCUGCCAAGGAUGUUUUCAUUAAUCAAGAACGAAAGUUAGGGGAUCGAAGACGAUCAGAUACCGUCGUAGUCUUAACCAUAAACGAUGCCGACCAGCGAUUAGGAGACGUUGAAUACAAAACACCACCAUCAGGCGGGUCGUUCCUGGCCAGCUUCGCGCAAGCGGGGUUGGUGGGGGCGAUUCGUUUUCCUGAUGGCCCGGUGAA
RNAcentral lists this ribosomal RNA (412 nucleotides) under Acanthamoeba sp. RNAcentral's name for it is "SSU rRNA". It matches the Rfam family "Eukaryotic small subunit ribosomal RNA", at positions 762 to 1112 of the family's 1831-position model. The record is from RNAcentral. Lineage: Eukaryota; Discosea; Longamoebia; Acanthamoebidae.